Durotheca rogersii is the source of this 86-nucleotide non-coding RNA. The record is from the annotation of a RefSeq genome assembly. NCBI's taxonomy places the organism in Eukaryota, Fungi, Ascomycota, Sordariomycetes, Xylariales, Xylariaceae.
GGUGGUAUAGUAUAGUGGAUAGUACAACACGUUGUGGUCUCACUACUUAUACCGUGUAGACCUGGGUUCGAUUCCCAGUACCGCCA